RNAcentral lists this non-coding RNA (29 nucleotides) under Mus musculus (house mouse). Lineage: Eukaryota; Metazoa; Chordata; Mammalia; Rodentia; Muridae. The record is from RNAcentral.
UCCACACAUGCCGCACCCACACCCUCACC